This 88-nucleotide transfer RNA is filed under the name Bacteroidota bacterium. RNAcentral describes it as "Bacteroidetes bacterium tRNA-Leu". It matches the Rfam family "tRNA". Rfam says of the family: Transfer RNA (tRNA) molecules are approximately 80 nucleotides in length. Their secondary structure includes four short double-helical elements and three loops (D, anti-codon, and T loops). RNAcentral also lists the same sequence under 1 other name. The record is from RNAcentral. Lineage: Bacteria; Pseudomonadati; Bacteroidota.
GCCGUGGUGGCGGAAUUGGUAGACGCGUUGGACUUAAAAUCCAAUUGGCAUCAAAAUGCCAGUGCCGGUUCGAGCCCGGCCCACGGUA